Molecule: long non-coding RNA, 4559 nt
Organism: Alexandromys fortis (reed vole)
Lineage: Eukaryota; Metazoa; Chordata; Mammalia; Rodentia; Cricetidae
Exons: 2
Source: RefSeq, a predicted model, not a curated record
GGCGACUAGACUCCCUUCCUGAUUGCACAGAGGGCUGUUGUCUGGGACGGUGAUCUGGACAAUGGAUGCUGGUCAGCUGAGGCCGAAGAACCAGCUGUGAUUAAGAAGAGACCAGCAUCACCAGAGUGGAGUGUUCUGGGAAGAGGUUCAUCUGAGUUAGCACACAGAAGCGGUGCUCCAGAGCGGCCAAGGUUGUGCCGCCUUGCACUGGCAGCUGAAUUUGGUAGUUUAAAAGUCACCCAGGCGGCACUGGUUUUGGAGGCAGGAAGGGGUCAGGGAGAGCAGCUGAGGCUUGUUACUGUGAGAGGCCAAGAGAGGCCAUUGGUGAAAUGUACAGCUUCAGUAGCAGGAUUAAAUAGGUCAUUCGGAGAAUUUGCGGCUUGGUACCAUGAAGAAAGUCCGGGAAAGGCUAUUGGUGAAAGUCCAGUUGCAGCAAGAGACCCCAGCACUUUGGAGAUGUCAGGACCAUGGGGUGACCUCCAAGGACAGCAUCAAUGAUAGAGAGGCAGUGACUUGAGUUUGGCAGACGAGCUGUGUGUGCUGCAGAGGGCAGAGCUGGGGAAGUGACCCAAGCCCUUUGGAGGAGCCCAGAGGAUCAUGAGUGAGUCCCAGAUAUUGGGCAUUGAAUUAUUUCCACUGUUGGAGUUUGGUUUGUGCUGCAGCCAGUGCAGCCUGGAUAGCCAAGACUGGUGGGGGUGCCGGAAUUGAGACUCUGAGGCUUCUUUUCAGGUGGAAGAACAGCAACCUUUAUUUUGCCCAGCAACCUUUUAUACCUCUACUCCUUCUGCAGAGACCCAUGGGCCAGAAAGAACACAAACAUACUUGUCAAUUACAGACAGCAAGGAAGUUCCGAGGUCAGUCAGGGGGAGUGAGGGCAGCUGGAUCACAACAGGUUUGCUUUGUUUAGCUUGUGACUGCGCCCUGUUUUUCCCUCUUGAAGUAAGAAAGUACUUAAUUUAUUUUUGAUUUGACAAGAACCCACAGUUGAGAGACUUAAAACUUAAAAAAGAAGAGAUUUUGUAGUCUUACAGAGAAUUUGGAUUUUAAAAAAGACUGGAUAUUUUUAAAGAUACAACUUUUAAAGUGUUUGAAUUUGUAAGGCUGUGGGAUUUGGUAAGUUUGUAAAACGUUUUAUAUUGUUAUGUCUUUAUUAAUGUGUGAUAUUGGGCAUGAACAAGAAAGGAAAGGUGUGGUGUAACAGUAAUGUUUAUGUAGCAAGAGCUGACAAAGGGUCAGCUGCCUGGCUAGUUCUGUGUCAACUAAAGGCACAAGCUAAAGUUGUUAGAGAAGAGGGCACCUCAAGUGAAAAACUGCUUCCGUGAGAUCCUGCUGUACAUUUUGAAAAUCAAUAUGGCAGUUUCUCAGAAAAUUGGGAAUCAAUUUACUUCAAGACCCAGCUAUACCGAUCAUAUACACAAAGGCUAUCCAGUCAUACCACAAGGAUACUUGCUCCACUAUGUUCAUAGCAGCAUUAUUUGUAAUACCCCGAUCCUGGAAACAACCUAGAUGCCCCAGGGAAACUCCGAGGGAAAGGGAAAUAGAGGAGAUUUCCUGGGUAAACUAGGGGUGGGGGUGCAGGAGGGAGAGAGUAGUGAAAGAGAUGUCUUGAUUCGGGGGAACUUCGGGAUCAGGGAGAAACCUGGUGCCAGGGAAACUCCGAGGAAUCCACAAGGAUGACCCCAGUUAAGGCUCCUAACAAUAAUGGAGAGAGUGCCUGAACUGGACGUCUCUUGUAAUCAGAUUGGUGACUAUCCUAAUUGUCAUCAGAGAGCCUUUAUCCAGUAACUAUUGGAAGCAGAUGUAGAGAUCCAUGGCCAAGCUCUGGACCGAGCUCUGGGAAAAGCUGAAGAGGGGGCAGGGGAAAGGGGGACUGGAGAGAUGGCUCAGAGGUUAAGAGCACUGACUGCUCUUCCGGAGGUCCUGAGUUCAAUUCCCAGCAACCAUAUGGUGGUUCACAACCAUCUAUAAUGAGAUCUGGUGCCCUCUUCUGGCCUGCAGGCAUGGAGGCUGAACACUGUGUACAUAAAAAUAAAUAAAUCUUUAAAGAGAGAGAGAGAGAGAGAGAGAGAGAGAGAGAGAGAGAGAGAGAAAAGGAUUGUAUGUGUGUGUGUGGGGGCAAGAUCCUCACAAGAGAACACACAGAAACAACUAACUUGGACCCAUAGGAACUCAUAGACUCUCGACCAACAGCUAGGGAGUCUACGUUUGUGUGACAGUUGUGUAGCUUGGUUAAUCUGUGGGACUCCUAGGAGUAAGAUCAGGGCCUUUCCCUAAUGCCUUGGCUGGCUUUUGGGAACCUAUUCCCCAUACAGGGCUGCCUGGCCCAGCCUUAAUACAAAGGGAGGAGCUUAGUCCUACCUCAACUUAAUAUGCCAUGAUGUUGUUGACCUAUGGGAGGCCUUCCCCUUCCAGAACAGAAACAGAGGAGUGGAUGGGGGAUGGGCAGCAGGGAGGCAGGGGAAGGAGCAGGAGGAGAAGAGGGAGGGGAAACAGUGGUCAAGAUGUAAAAUAAAUGAAAAAGUAAUUAAUAAAAAUGUAAUUAAUAAAAAGUAGAUCUGGCUGUAGGAAAAGCUGUGGGUCAUUUUAUUAAUUAGUGAUUAAUAAUGGACUAAGCCCAUUGUGGGUGAUGUCAUCCCUGGACUGGAGGUUCUGGGUUCUAUCAGAAAGCAGGCUGGGCAAGCCAUGAGGGAACAAGUCAGUAAGCAGCAUUCUCCAUGGCCUCUGCAUCAGCUCCUGCCCCCAGGUUCCUGCCCUGGGUGAGUCCUGCCUCGCUGCUUUUCCUGCUCAACUCUUCUCUGGAGCUGUCUUUCGGUGACGGAGUCUCAACAUGGCAGUAGUAACUCUAGGACAGUCAGCUUUGUCACGGUCACAAGCUGGGAUGCACUUGAUGUUCUCGGGAGCCUCUGUCUGCCCUCAACACGGCAGGAGGGAGGCACAGCAGCAAGAGCUGCUGGAGACUGUGGAAGCGGGAGGGUGAGGUUGCCUGCCUGCCUCUCAGCAGACCCAGAAGCAGGAACUGCCCAGGCAGUCCUCAGACUGGAGCUGUAAACCUCAAGGCCACACCUACUCCCAUUAGCAAGGUUCCACGUUCUAAAGGCUCCCCAAUUUGUUCAAACAGUGCAAUCAGCUAGGGAUCUAGCUUUCGUUAAUAGUAACUCUGUUCUGCACUUGCGGAUAUUCUGGUUGACACCUGCACCCCAUCUUUCCCAACUCCCAUUUUUCCAGAGAAUAAAUUUCAUGGGUCAAGACUGAACCUAGUAACUGUUAGGAACUGGGGCAUGUGACUCCAUAACUGAUCUCUGUGGGGACACUGAUCUGUGGGGCUCUCGCAGUGGGCAUAAAUUGACUACAGAGAAAGAAAAGGGACACUGUUCUACCUACCUCUUCUGUUUAGCCAUUAAGAGUUUUUAUUUAAUACAUUUAGGAUAAAACAUUGGGAUAAUGAUUGUGAUUUCACAGCAUAUGGAGUGUGUAAUUUGGUUGAGCAAGGGACCAACUCUGAAUACUAAAUCUAACUUCCUAAUCCUGCUUCUUUCGUUCUAACAUACACUUAGGGUCAGUGACUGGUGCCGUGGCCUCUGAGGAGCAUUGCUCCAGAUGGUCCAGACGCUCUGUGGUGUUGCUACAGAUCUGGGGAAAACAGACCCUAGCGUGUUUGGACCAGAGAAAGUCUCCUUGAGAACUGAGCUAUGCAAUGGUGACUUCGGCAGAGCUGUUAUUUCCUCUGUCUGUUUCUACAGCUUCAGGAUGUGAACUGGUGUGAGGGAUUGUGGGUGACAGAAUGUGGUUAGUGAAUUUUAGCCAUUAGUGUCCCUGUCUUUCCUUUCCUCUCCCUCCAGUACCUCAGGAAAGCUUUUUUUCCUCUUUCUGUUCUUCCUCUUCUUUCAUCUCUUCCUUCCCUUCCUCCCACUCCUUUGUGAGACACAUGACUCAGGCCCGGCCUGGAGUCCACUCUCUUUCUCUUUUGAAAUUGCUUAUUUAAUCCCCACUCCCACUCUCUCUCUUUCUGUGUGUGUGUGUGUGUAUGUGUGUGCGUAUGCUUGUGUGUGAAACACAAUACCUCAGUCAAAUGUUUUAUUUAUGGGAAUUAUUUUUUUUUUGAAUUAGAAAGGGACACAAGACAGAGACAGCUCAGAAUGGCACUACUUUGUGCAAACGGUGAGUGUGGGGAUGUGCCCAGUUGUCCCCUUGGCUAAAGGGACAAACUAUUAGGAGGGCAUGGGAAAGUGUCAACAAUUGCCUCCAGUAGGCAGCAGAGACUCAGCCAUAUUUGCCACCAAGGCUACCCUCCUCCUGGGGCAGCCUACUUGCUUAAGGUGAAGGUGGAACCAUGGUUUUUUUUUUCUGUACCUUGUGGGACAACCCUGGGCAUUUCAAGGAGCUGAGCUAAAAGUCUGACGGUGGUGGCACACACCUUUAAUCCCAGCACUUGGGGAGGAAGAGGCAAGUGGAUCUCUGAGUUUUAGACCAGCCUCAUCUACAGAGUGAGUUCCAGGACAGACAGGGCUAUGCAAAAAGAUUCUGUCUUGAAAAGCAACAACAACAACAAAGAGAGGGAG